GACGAACGCUGGCGGCGUGCUUAACACAUGCAAGUCGAACGGAAAGGCCCUGCUUUUGUGGGGUGCUCGAGUGGCGAACGGGUGAGUAACACGUGAGUAACCUGUCCUUGACUUUGGGAUAACUUCAGGAAACUGGGGCUAAUACCGGAUAGGAGCUCCUGCUGCAUGGUGGGGGUUGGAAAGUUUCGGCGGUUGGGGAUGGACUCGCGGCUUAUCAGCUUGUUGGUGGGGUAGUGGCUUACCAAGGCUUUGACGGGUAGCCGGCCUGAGCGGGUGACCGGCCACAUUGGGACUGAGAUACGGCCCAGACUCCUACGGGAGGCAGCAGGGGAGAAUAUUGCACAAUGGGCGGAAGCCUGAUGCAGCGACGCCGCGUGCGUGAUGACGGCCUUCGGGUUGUAAACCGCUUUCGCCUGUGACGAAGCGUUAGUGACGGUAAUGGGUAAAGAAGCACCGGCUAACUACGUG
Molecule: ribosomal RNA, 468 nt
Filed under: uncultured bacterium
Lineage: Bacteria
Description: partial 16S ribosomal RNA
Rfam family: Bacterial small subunit ribosomal RNA
Source: RNAcentral